This 558-nucleotide long non-coding RNA is filed under the name Hordeum vulgare. RNAcentral describes it as "long non-coding RNA (HVUL_LNC019426)". Lineage: Eukaryota; Viridiplantae; Streptophyta; Magnoliopsida; Poales; Poaceae. The record is from RNAcentral.
UACGGAUCAAAAGUUACAAGCACCACAAGAUAUGAUGGCAUGAAUGCAAUAUGUGUGCAACGGUGGCUACGAGCACUUCAUCACAUGCAACCAGCCAUAGAAAAUGAAACUACACGAGAUUCCAAGCAAGUUUCAUGUAGGACACGAACAAAUCGGAGCUACGGUUCAAAAACUACGAGCAAAACAAGAAAGGACAACAAUCUGCCAAAAUCAGCCACAUAGCAUAUUCUACGCCCCACAACUACGGCUACACAACUCCGAUAAGCUCAAGCAAGGCAUGGCACGGAAGAGGGAAAGAAGCACUACUACAGACUACUAACAACAACUAACAUGGCAACAAGGAGCACAAGGAAAAGAAGACACAAAAUGGCAUCUCACGCACUAUUUCAGACUUAGUGAAAAUAACACCUCAUGAAAGUGCAGUUUUCAGCCUGAAGCAAUAUUGACAGCAGCAAAACCUAUAUCUACAGGACUCCAAAUGGCAUAAAACUUCACAGCAAACUAGAGAAACACAAGGGGUACAACUAACUCCAUUGGACCAACCCCAAAAGAGCUACA